Long non-coding RNA from Girardinichthys multiradiatus, 417 nucleotides. RefSeq lists it as uncharacterized. The transcript is spliced from 2 exons. The record is from RefSeq and is a predicted model, not a curated record. Lineage: Eukaryota; Metazoa; Chordata; Actinopteri; Cyprinodontiformes; Goodeidae.
UAAACCAUAAAAACAAACUCACGAGACAUUGCAGGAUUACCUGAACCUGACUUCUGCAUUGAACUCUGCCUGGAUUAGCCUCUUCUGGAAAGAAGCGAUCCAGCUCCAUGAACAAAGACUCAAGCCUCUUGUUACUUCGUUUGAUCACACCGGCUGGCAGCCUCCUGAUUUCUUCGCUCCUUGGAUCACCCUCCAUGAACCCUGUCCACCCUCCUCUAUCCACUGCACCAACUUCAGAAACUCUUGGACCAGCUAACCAUCCUGGCACACCAGUAUUCACCAUCCUCAGUCUCACGGGUAAACAACCCUUUGGUCUCUCCACCGCCCUCUGGCGGAUCUCCCCAUCUAUCCAUUGGUAUCCCGGUUCCAGUUCCCUGCACAUUUCCUUACAUUGUAAAUAAACUCAUUACCGUUAAA